This 804-nucleotide ribosomal RNA is filed under the name Glomus sp. MC10. RNAcentral's name for it is "SSU rRNA". It matches the Rfam family "Eukaryotic small subunit ribosomal RNA", at positions 314 to 1113 of the family's 1831-position model. Lineage: Eukaryota; Fungi; Glomeromycota; Glomeromycetes; Glomerales; Glomeraceae. The record is from RNAcentral.
AUCAACUUUCUAUGGUAGGAUAGAGGCCAACCAUGGUGGUAACGGGUAACGGGGUGUUAGGGCACGACCCCGGAGAGGGAGCCGGACAAACGGGUACCACAUCCAAGGAAGGCAGCAUGCGCGCAAAUUACCCAAUCCCGACACGGGGAGGUAGUGACAUUAAAUAACAAUACAGGGUUCUUUUGGAUCUUGUAAUUGGAAUGAGUACAAUUGAAAUCUCUUAACGAGGAACAAUUGGAGGGCAAGUCUGGUGCCAGCAGCCGCGGUAAUUCCAGCUCCAAUAGCGUAUAUUAAAAUUGUUGCAGUUAAAAAGCUCGUAGUUGAAUUUCGGGAUCAAUAUUUCGGUCAUGCCGUUGGUAUGCACUGUUAUCAUUGAUUUCUCACCUUCUAAAGAACCGUAAUGCCAUUAAUUUGGUGUUACGGGGAAUUAGGACUGUUACCUUGAAAAAAUUAGAGUGUUUAAAGCAGGCUCACGCUUGAAUACAUUAUCAUGGAAUAAUGAAAUAGGACAUCCGAUUCUAUUUUGUUGGUUUCUAGGAUCGAUGUCAUGAUUAAUAGGGAUAGUUGGGGGCAUUAGUAUUCAAUUGUCAGAGGUGAAAUCUUGGAAUUUUUUGAAGACUAACUACUGCGAAAGCAUUUUGCCUGGGAUGUUUUUCAUUUAAUCAAGAACUAAAUUACGGGAUCCGAAUACGAUCAGAUACCGUCCUAGUCUUAACCCUAAACUAUGCCUACCUAGGGAUCGGAUGAUGUUAUUUUUUUAUGACUCAUUCAGCCCCUUUCGGGGAAACCAAAGUGGUUUGGGUU